RNAcentral lists this ribosomal RNA (465 nucleotides) under uncultured bacterium. RNAcentral's name for it is "partial 16S ribosomal RNA". It matches the Rfam family "Bacterial small subunit ribosomal RNA", at positions 339 to 795 of the family's 1533-position model. The record is from RNAcentral.
CUACGGGCUGCAGCAGUGGGGAAUAUUGCACAAUGGGCGCAAGCCUGAUGCAGCCAUGCCGCGUGUAUGAAGAAGGCCUUCGGGUUGUAAAGUACUUUCAGCGGGGAGGAAGGGAGUAAAGUUAAUACCUUUGCUCAUUGACGUUACCCGCAGAAGAAGCACCGGCUAACUCCGUGCCAGCAGCCGCGGUUAAUACGGAGGGUGCAAGCGUUAAUCGGAAUUACUGGGCGUAAAGCGCACGCAGGCGGUUUGUUAAGUCAGAUGUGAAAUCCCCGGGCUCAACCUGGGAACUGCAUCUGAUACUGGCAAGCUUGAGUCUCGUAGAGGGGGGUAGAAUUCCAGGUGUAGCGGUGAAAUGCGUAGAGAUCUGGAGGAAUACCGGUGGCGAAGGCGGCCCCCUGGACGAAGACUGACGCUCAGGUGCGAAAGCGUGGGGAGCAAACAGGAUUAGAUACCCGGGUAGUC